RNAcentral lists this ribosomal RNA (406 nucleotides) under uncultured bacterium. RNAcentral's name for it is "bacterial SSU rRNA". It matches the Rfam family "Bacterial small subunit ribosomal RNA", at positions 355 to 776 of the family's 1533-position model. The record is from RNAcentral.
UUGGGAAUUUUGCACAAUGGACGAAAGUCUGAUGCAGCGACGCCGCGUGGGGGAUGAAGAUUUUCGGAUUGUAAACCCCUUUUACGAGAGAGUAAUUUUUGAACGUAUCUCGUGAAUAAGCACCGGCUAACUCCGUGCCAGCAGCCGCGGUAAUACGGAGGGUGCAAACGUUGUCCGGAAUCACUGGGCGUAAAGAGCAUGUAGGUGGUUAUAUAAGUAAGCGAUUAAAGACCGACGCCUAACGUCGGGAAGGUUGCUUAGACUGUAUGACUUGAGUAUGGCAGGGGUAAGCGGAACUUUAGGUGUAGGAGUGAAAUCCGUAGAUAUCUAAAGGAACACCAAUGGCGAAGGCAGCUUACUGGGCCAUUACUGACACUGAGAUGCGAAAGCGUGGGGAGCAAACGGG